UGCUCGCUUCAGCAGCACUAUACUAAAAUUGAAACGAUACUGAGAAGAUAAGCAUGACCCCAGUGCAAGGAUGACACACAGAUUUGUGAAGCAUUCUAUAUAUUU
Molecule: small nuclear RNA, 105 nt
Organism: Suncus etruscus (white-toothed pygmy shrew)
Lineage: Eukaryota; Metazoa; Chordata; Mammalia; Eulipotyphla; Soricidae
Source: RefSeq, a predicted model, not a curated record